AGGUCUGUCGCCAAGCGGUAAGGCAACGGGUUUUGAUCCCGUCAUACCUAGGUUCGAGAAUCCAUGUAGACCUGCCA
This 77-nucleotide transfer RNA is filed under the name Vibrio cholerae. Its description in RNAcentral is "tRNA-Gln(ttg)". It matches the Rfam family "tRNA". Rfam says of the family: Transfer RNA (tRNA) molecules are approximately 80 nucleotides in length. Lineage: Bacteria; Pseudomonadati; Pseudomonadota; Gammaproteobacteria; Vibrionales; Vibrionaceae. The record is from RNAcentral.